This 411-nucleotide long non-coding RNA is filed under the name Homo sapiens (human). Its description in RNAcentral is "LHRI_LNC1141.1". The record is from RNAcentral. Lineage: Eukaryota; Metazoa; Chordata; Mammalia; Primates; Hominidae.
UAUCAUGUAGGCUGUUUGCUGGGUCAGCGGAGAGACAGUGGUCGGCUCUGGGAGGUCACGCCUCCACUACUUGGCCUUCCUUCGGAGGCUCUUACUGGUUUCCACUGGAGAAUAAGCUGUGGAAGCACUCUAGUUAAUGCUGCAGAUGAAAUCUCCUGGAUUCUUGUACCCUCCAGAAAAGAGGGAUGGGUUAAGAUUCAUGCCAGCAAGCCAUUCCAGUUCUCCUUGCCUGGCAGCAGCAUCCAAGCUAGGAUUCCUGGAAGAGAAGUUUGCAGCCCCAGGAAACCAAGGCAUUGACCUGGGCUGUCAGUGGCAGCUUAGGCGAGCUACGGAGAAAUUACAGAUGGAAAGAGGAAAUGCUUGUCCUUCUUCCUUUGUCAAACCAUGUAAAACAAACUGGAACAAGAUGCU